This 497-nucleotide ribosomal RNA is filed under the name uncultured bacterium. RNAcentral describes it as "partial 16S ribosomal RNA". It matches the Rfam family "Bacterial small subunit ribosomal RNA", at positions 28 to 507 of the family's 1533-position model. The record is from RNAcentral.
GAUGAACGCUGGCGGCGUGCCUAAUACAUGCAAGUCGAGCGAACAGACGAGGAGUUUGUUCGUCAGACGUUUGCGGCGGACGGGUGUGUAACACGUGGAUAACCUACUUAUAUGACUGGGAUAACUUCGGGAAACCGGCUCUAAUACCGGAUGAUAUAUUGAACCGUAUUGUUCAAUAGUGAAAGACGGUUUUGCUGUCACUUAUCGAUGUAUCCGCGCGGCAUUGGCUAGUUGGUCAGCUAACGGCUUACCAAGUAAACGAUGCGUAGCCGACCUGAGAGGGUGAACGCCCACACUGGAAGUGAGACGCGGUCCAGACUCCUACGGGAGGCAGCGGUAGGGAAUCUACCGAGAUGGGCGGAAGCCUGAAGGAGCAGCGCAGCGCGGGUGAUGAAGGUCUUCGGAUCGGAAAACUGUGUUAUUAGGGAAGAACAAAUGUGUAAGUAACUAUGCACGUCUUGACGGUACCUAGUCAGAAAGCCACGGCUAACUACGUG